Non-coding RNA from Callithrix jacchus (white-tufted-ear marmoset), 2033 nucleotides. Lineage: Eukaryota; Metazoa; Chordata; Mammalia; Primates; Cebidae. The record is from RefSeq and is a predicted model, not a curated record.
AUGCCACAAAAAGAUUCAGAUAUGCACAUCAGGAAAAUGCCAUGUGAAGAUGAUGGCAGCGAUCAGGGUGAUGCCUCUAGAAGCCAAGAAUGUCAAAGAUUGCCAGCAAACCACCAGAAGCGAGGAGAGCGCCACGGGACAGAUUCUUCCUCCCAGUCCUCAGAAAAAGACAACCCUGCUCACACCUUGAUCUGGACUUGUUGCUUCCAGAACUGUGAGACUGUACAUUUCUGUUGUUUAAGCCACCUGCUUCGUGGAAAUUUGUUAGGUGAAACACCUUUUGAUUUGCCCAAGGGACAAGAGAACAACAACUCUUGGAAGAAGAAGACAAAGUUUGUCAAUUUACACACAAGAGAGGGACCCACAGGCUUGCAGUCUGCUCCCCCAGUUGCCACCCUUGUGAUUGCCUGGGCCAGAAGCACAAGCUCAUCAAUAGCUGUCUGAUUGGUGGGCUUGUUGUUUGUGAAUAAGAGGGCUCCAGCUCUUGAUUAUUCUGUGUCACGCUGAUAUGUACUCAUGAAGAACAGGAUAUUUUACAGAAUGACUCAAAUGAAAGCCAGAAACUGCUAAAGAAGCUCAUGCCAUUGAUGGGGAAUUCUGGAAAAGUGGACAUCUCUGCCAAGGACUUUCUGUGUCAUCGAGAAUUUCAAAUUAAGUCUGGUCUGGUGAAGGCUAUCAAGCACAAACUGUUGGAGUUGGACCAGGCUAGUUUUCAAAGGAAUCACCCAAGUCGUUGGUGAUGAUCAGAUUACUUUGCCAGUGAUUCUAACCUGUGGUUGUCCAAACUUAAGCGGGAAACCAAACAAGAAGCGAGAAGAGGUGCUGAGAGAACUUCGACAUGCUUCUCUACUCUCUAAGAAGGUCACCAUUAAUUUUACAGGCAGGGAAGAUCCCGGAAAAAGAAAAUCCAUUAGCAGAAUAUCACAGCAGAAUACAUGAGACAAUAUAGGCCUUUGCCAAGGAAACCUUGAAUCAGACACUGACCACAUUUGAUAUAUCUCCUGAAGAGCCUUUGGGAAUUCUGAUAAAUCUCAACAUGUACCAGACCCCUCGCCAGUGGGUUGACCACACAGGUGCAGCCUCAUAUAAUAAGGCUUCCCAUUCAGCAGGAUUGGGACUAGAGUUCAGCUCAUUUCAGUACCACUUGUGAAUGCAGGAUUAAGACUUUCAGGGAGGUUUGACAGUGUGUCAUGCCUCUCUAUACAUCAUCCCUGGGUUUCUCAGCUUGUUAGAGGGAUUAGAAAAGAAUGGAGUGCAGAUCCUGGUACAUCUUCCACAAAGGACAACUUUGGAGAGCAGUCGUAGCCAAAACCUCCCUCUGCCUUUAAGAAGUCUCAGAACUCCAGGCUACAUAUCAUCUUCUUCAUGGGAAAGAUGUGGAAUUUCCCAGGAACUAUCCAUCAGGUUGUCUUCUGGGCUGUCUGGACCUAACUGGUUGUUUCAGAAGCAAUUUAAGGAGCAGUUUCCAGACGUCAGUCAAGAAUCACGUUCUCCACUUGUUUUCAUCUCCAAAAAUCCUCAGGAAAUGGUUGUGGAGUUUCCUAUUAAAGAAAAUAAAAAAAUCUGGAAACUGGAUUCCAAGAUCCACCAAGGAGCAAAGAAGGGGUAAAUGAAGCAGAAUACAGCUUUCUGAAUCAGGAGAAAAGAAACUAUACAGCACAGUGGAGUCUGGUACACUAAAAUUGCCAUCCACUCGUUUUUUGGAAUUGAAGCAGUAGAAAUCUAAAGGUGUGGCAUCAGGCUUGAAUCUCUCAGAAUUUUAACUCUUACCAAAAUCUGUAUUUUUCUUAAGGAGUAGGAUUCUUACUUAUGUAGUGGCUCGAAAUCUUUGAAUACAUUAUUUAUAAAAAACUAUUUGAAAAAAAGUUCAGGAGUAUUUCCUAUUAUUUGGAGGUUACUGAGGCUACAAACUUGCAGGUUUCUAUAUAAAACAUUUCCUCUCUCAUCUUUCUUUUGACAUGGGAAAAUACAAUGAGAUCAUGGUAAAAUAUGAAAAGUGGAAGAGGAGUGUGGUGUAUGAGACACUGGUUGAG